Molecule: transfer RNA, 101 nt
Filed under: subsurface metagenome
Description: tRNA-Sec
Source: RNAcentral
CAUUGAGGUGGGGCAUGUCUUUAAACUGGGCAGCUUCUUCAGCGAGCGGAUGGGGGCCACCUUCCUCAACCGUGAUGGGGUGGCACGCCCCAUCCUUAUGG